UGGUAAGCUGUGCACAGGUACGGACGAAGGACGUGCUGUUUGAGAGCAUCAGCCACCUGAUCGACCACCACCUGCAGAACGGGCAGCCCAUCGUGGCCGCCGAGAGUGAGCUGCACCUGCGUGGCGUGGUCUCACGGGAGCCCUGAGCCAGGUGACCGUUCUCAGCCCUGGCUCCUGCCUGUUCUCAGCCCCGGCUCCUGCCUGUCAUGGCCUUGGGGCUCUCAGCCCUCCUCCUGGAUCCUGGUCAGGCCGAACCACCGCUGCCUCUCCUUCCUCCGCAUGAGCCUCUGGCAUGGUCCUUCCUCCAGCUGGCCCCGGGCUGGGCAGAGCCUCCUCCUGCCGGGGCCCCUGCCCACCCCCUCCUUUGCCUGGAGUGAGGGUGUUCAUACCAAAGACGGAACCAUUUCGCCUUUAAAGAAAAUAUAUCCAGAAGCAGCCGCUGCCUCGGAGCCCUGGCCCUUGGGUCCCCCUCUCGCCUGGCUGGUUCGGUCUAACGCCCCGGAGAGUCAGGGCUCCCAGGACCCUGGGGAGGAGGCGGAUUCCGGGCCUGGCUGGGCUUCCUCUUCCCACCUGAGGACUGGGUGCACAGUUGUCUUUGAGGGGGGACGCUUAAGGUGCUUUGGGGUUCUCAGGCCAGGAUACAUGCUGGCGCUGAAGUGCAGGCAGCCUUGAGGUCACCUGGGAUCUCGGGGUAGCCAGGCUGCUCCAAGACAGUGGAUAUCGAGGCAGUCGUGAGGCCCCUACUCCACCUGGGAGCAGGGGAAGGACGUGGUUGCCUGGCCUGGGCUGCGCCCAGCAGCUUCCCCCCAGUCCUGCCCUCCCAGCUGUCGACCCAGAUGGGAUGUUCGGAUCGGUUUGUAAUUAAACCUGGGAAUG
This 876-nucleotide long non-coding RNA is filed under the name Homo sapiens (human). RNAcentral's name for it is "long non-coding RNA NONHSAT180022.1". The record is from RNAcentral. Lineage: Eukaryota; Metazoa; Chordata; Mammalia; Primates; Hominidae.